This 321-nucleotide long non-coding RNA is filed under the name Mytilus galloprovincialis (Mediterranean mussel). The record is from RNAcentral. Lineage: Eukaryota; Metazoa; Mollusca; Bivalvia; Mytilida; Mytilidae.
UUAUUUUUAUGCCCCACCUACGAUAGUAGAGGGGCAUUAUGUUUUCUGGUCUGUGCGUCCGUUCGUUCGUCCGUCCAUCCGUUCGUUCGUUCGUUCGUCCGUCUGUCCCGCUUCAGGUUAAAGUUUUUGGUCGAGGUAGUUUUUGAUGAAGUUGAAGUCCAAUCGACUUCAAACUUGGUACACAUGUUCCCUAUGAUAUGAUCUUUCUAAUUUUAAUGCCAAAUUAGAGAUUUUACCCCAAUUUCACGGUCCACUGAACAUAGAAAAUGAUAGUGCGAGUGGGGCAUUCGUGUACUGAGGACACAUUCUUGUUUUGUUUUU